UGAUGACGAGACGCUAAGGCGUUGAAGCAGUGUAUGUCAGACUUCCAAGAAAAGCUCGCAAUGUCACAAAUUAAAAAUGCCUGUACCAUAACCGACACAGGUGGGUAGGUAGAGUAUACUAAGGGGCGCGAGAUAACUCUCUCUAAGGAACUCGGCAAAAUGACUCCGUAACUUCGGGAGAAGGAGUGCCUUAUUUAUAAGGUUGCAAUAACAAGAUCCAAGCAACUGUUUAUCAAAAACACAGGUCUCCGCUAAGUCGUAAGACGAUGUAUGGGGGCUGACGCCUGCCCAGUGCCAGAAGGUUAAAGAAGUUGGUUAGUGUAUGCGAAGCUGAUGACUGAAGCCCUGGUGAACGGCGGCCGUAACGAUAACGGUCCUAAGGUAGCGAAAUUCCUUGUCGGGUAAGUUCCGACCCGCACGAAAGGCGUAAUGAUUUGGAUACUGUCUCGGAGAGAGGCUCGGUGAAAUAGACUUGUCUGUGAAGAUGCGGACUACCUGCACCAGGACAGAAAGACCCUAUGAAGCUUUACUGUAACUUGAAAUUGGAAUUGGACUUUGCUUGCGCAGUAUAGGUGGGAAGCGUUGAAAAUAUUCUUGCGGGAGUAUUGGAGCUAUCAGUGAGAUACCACUCUUGUAAUGUUAGAUUUCUAACUUUGAACCAUAAUCUGGUCAAAGAACAGUUUCAGGUGGGCAGUUUGACUGGGGCGGUCGCCUCCCAAAUGGUAACGGAGGCGUACAAAGGUUUCCUCUGAACGGAUAGAAAUCGUAUCUAGAGUAUAAAGGCAUAAGGAAGCUUGACUGUGAGACCUACAAGUCGAGCAGGGACGAAAGUCGGUCUUAGUGAUCUGACGGUACUGAGUGGAAAGGCCGUCACUCAACGGAUAAAAGUUACUCUAAGGAUAACAGGCUGAUCUCCCCCAAGAGUUCACAUCGACGGGGAGGUUUGGCACCUCGAUGUCGGCUCAUCGCAUCCUGGGGCGGUAGUACGUCCCAAGGGUUGGGCUGUUCGCCCAUGAAAGCGGUACGCGAGCUGGGUUCAGAACGUCGUGAGACAGUUCGGUCCAUGUCCGGUGUAGGCGCUAGAAUAUUGAGAGGAGCCUUCUUUAGUACGAGAGGACCGAGAAGGACACACCGCUGGUGUACCAGUUAUCGUGCCAACGGUAAACGCUGGGUAGCUAUGUGUGGAGUGGAUAACCGCUGAAAGCAUCUAAGUGGGAAGCCCACCUCGAGAUGAGUAUUCUCU
This 1243-nucleotide ribosomal RNA is filed under the name metagenome. RNAcentral describes it as "bacterial LSU rRNA". It matches the Rfam family "Bacterial large subunit ribosomal RNA", at positions 1564 to 2816 of the family's 2925-position model. The record is from RNAcentral.